Molecule: ribosomal RNA, 406 nt
Filed under: uncultured bacterium
Lineage: Bacteria
Description: partial 16S ribosomal RNA
Rfam family: Bacterial small subunit ribosomal RNA
Source: RNAcentral
AUUGAACGCUGGCGGCAGGCCUAACACAUGCAAGUCGAACGAGUGGCGGACGGGUGAGUAAUGUCUGGGAAACUGCCUGAUGGGGGGGGAUAACUACUGGAAACGGUAGCUAAUACCGCAUACCAUCGGAUGUGCCUAGAUGGGAUUAGUGAGUGGGUGGGGUAACGGCUCACCUAGGCGACGAUCCCUAGCUGGUCGUAGCGGAUGACCAGCCACACUGGAACUGAGACACGGGCCAGACUCCUACGGGAGGCAGCAGUGGGGAAUAUUGCACAAUGGGCGCAAGCCUGAUGCAGCCAUGCCGCGUGUAUGAAGAAGGCCUUCGGGUUGUAAAGUACUUUCAGCGGGGAGGCGUUACCCGCAGAAGAAGCACCGGCUAACUCCGUGCCAGCAGCCGCGGUAAUUC